UACGAAGGGUGCAAACGUUGCUCGGAAUUAUUGGGCGUAAAGCGCACGUAGGCGGCUUUGCAAGUCCCAUGUGAAAUCCCACGGCUCAACCGUGGAAGUGCAUGGGAAACUGCAGAGCUUGAGUACUUAAGAGGAUCGCGGAAUUCCCGGUGUAGAGGUGAAAUUCGUAGAUAUCGGGAGGAACACCAGUGGCGAAGGCGGCGAUCUGGGAAGAUACUGACGCUGAGACGCGAAAGCGUGGGGAGCGAACAGG
This 253-nucleotide ribosomal RNA is filed under the name uncultured bacterium. Its description in RNAcentral is "partial 16S ribosomal RNA". It matches the Rfam family "Bacterial small subunit ribosomal RNA", at positions 524 to 776 of the family's 1533-position model. The record is from RNAcentral.